Molecule: ribosomal RNA, 324 nt
Filed under: uncultured Acidobacteriota bacterium
Lineage: Bacteria; Pseudomonadati; Acidobacteriota
Description: bacterial SSU rRNA
Rfam family: Bacterial small subunit ribosomal RNA
Source: RNAcentral
GAAUGUUGGGUUAGUCCCGCACGAGCGCAACCCUUGUUACCAGUUGCUACCAUUCAGUUGAGCACUCUGGUGAGACCGCCUCGGAUAACGGGGAGGAAGGCGGGGAUGACGUCAAGUCCUCAUGGCCUUUAUGUCCAGGGCUACACACGUGCUACAAUGGCCGGUACAAACCGUUGCAACCCCGCGAGGGUGAGCUAAUCGGAGAAAGCCGGCCUCAGUUCGGAUUGGAGUCUGCAACUCGACUCCAUGAAGCUGGAAUCGCUAGUAAUCGCGGAUCAGCAUGCCGCGGUGAAUACGUUCCCGGGCCUUGUACACACCGCCCGU